GGGAGGAUCCGGGCGCGGGGAAAGCGGAGCGUCCGGGACGCGGCGGGACUCGAGUGUUUCGGAAAAGGAGCGUCUCCCCAGGCGGUGGUUGUCUUCACUAGCGAUGGGGUAAAAGGAGGACGCAAUACCUGGUUCAACUUGAGCAGACGGAGUCUCGCUAUGUUGCCCAGGCUGGGGUGCAGUGGCGUGAUCUCUGCUCACUGCAAGCUCCGCCUCCCAGGUUCACGCCAUUCUCCUGCCUCAGCCUCCCGAGUAGCCGGGACCACAGGCGCCCGCCACCACGCCUGGCUAAUUUUUUUUAUUUUUAGUAGAGACGGGGUUUCACCGUGUUAGCCAGGAUGAUCUCAAUCUCCUGACCUCGUGAUCCGCCCGCCUCGGCCUCCCAAAGUGCUGGGAUUACAGGUGUGAGCCACCGCGCCUGGCCGAUCAUGAAUAUGUUAAUUUAAGCAAAUGAAUGUCCCUGGGAAUGAUCUUCAAAGAGAAUUAAAGUGGGAUAGAGAAGU
Long non-coding RNA from Pan troglodytes (chimpanzee), 503 nucleotides. RefSeq lists it as uncharacterized. The record is from RefSeq and is a predicted model, not a curated record. NCBI's taxonomy places the organism in Eukaryota, Metazoa, Chordata, Mammalia, Primates, Hominidae. The transcript is spliced from 2 exons.